Molecule: ribosomal RNA, 513 nt
Filed under: Candida albicans
Lineage: Eukaryota; Fungi; Ascomycota; Pichiomycetes; Serinales; Debaryomycetaceae
Description: eukaryotic LSU rRNA
Rfam family: 5.8S ribosomal RNA (bases 145-298)
Source: RNAcentral
GCAAUCUGAUUUGCUUAUUGCACCACAUGUGUUUUUCUUUGAAACAAACUUGCUUUGGCGGUGGGCCCAGCCUGCCGCCAGAGGUCUAAACUUACAACCAAUUUUUUAUCAACUUGUCACACCAGAUUAUUACUUAAUAGUCAAAACUUUCAACAACGGAUCUCUUGGUUCUCGCAUCGAUGAAGAACGCAGCGAAAUGCGAUACGUAAUAUGAAUUGCAGAUAUUCGUGAAUCAUCGAAUCUUUGAACGCACAUUGCGCCCUCUGGUAUUCCGGAGGGCAUGCCUGUUUGAGCGUCGUUUCUCCCUCAAACCGCUGGGUUUGGUGUUGAGCAAUACGACUUGGGUUUGCUUGAAAGACGGUAGUGGUAAGGCGGGAUCGCUUUGACAAUGGCUUAGGUCUAACCAAAAACAUUGCUUGCGGCGGUAACGUCCACCACGUAUAUCUUCAAACUUUGACCUCAAAUCAGGUAGGACUACCCGCUGAACUUAAGCAUAUCAAAGGGGGGAAGGAA